This 21-nucleotide small nuclear RNA is filed under the name Arabidopsis thaliana (thale cress). RNAcentral's name for it is "snRNA_00835". The record is from RNAcentral. Lineage: Eukaryota; Viridiplantae; Streptophyta; Magnoliopsida; Brassicales; Brassicaceae.
ACGGACCGGGCCUAAGUUCCC